UGUGGAUUCAUUAUUAUUCGUUGCAUACCAAAUUAAGUGAACUUUGUAGGUAUAGGUGAACACUGGCGAACCACGAAAUUAAAUGUUCAACUAAUGAUAAAUUUUCAAAGGCUUAUAUAAAGACUUUGACAACACCACGAAAUUAAAUAUCUACGAACAUGCAAGUUUUCCUUCUUCCACGAAAAUGUGUGUCCACGGAAAUAAAUGAAUCCACAGUAAUUAGUAUUUAGAAUUGUCAUGUGAUCAAAAUUGAUGUAAACUAUAAAGCUUAAAAUUAAAUUAGUUGUACAUUUAUCAAACAAUCAUUCUAUAAAUA
RNAcentral lists this long non-coding RNA (316 nucleotides) under Mytilus galloprovincialis (Mediterranean mussel). Lineage: Eukaryota; Metazoa; Mollusca; Bivalvia; Mytilida; Mytilidae. The record is from RNAcentral.